UUCUAUAGUAUGAGAAAUCCAGGUUGAGAAUGAAACGACUGAACAAAUGAACAAGGAAACAGCACAAGCCUGAGUCUCUCCCUUGCAUGCAGCUGGAGCUGAGAGAAGGGGAGCGAGCGAGAGAAGAGAGGAGAGGAGGAGAGAGGAGAGGAGGAGAGAGAAGAGGAGCGAGGAUAGAGGAGAGGAGAUAGCAAGCGCAGAGUGAAGGAGAGAAAAGCUCAAGUGAUGAUGAAAUAGGAGGUGCGGCGGAGCGCGAGAGCCAGACACUUCUUGAUCACACGUCCAACACGGCAAGGAACUGUAUUUGCACUUGAGAGGGAGGGAGAGAGAAUGAAGGAAGGGAGAUGGAGGCCGAGAGGGAAAGAGAGAGAGAGAGAAAGAGAGAGCGAGAGGGGAGAGAGAGUGGGAGGGCGAAAAGCAGGCAAGGGUGGGAGGGGGUAGAGGAGGAAGAAUGACACAGAAAUCCACUCCUCCAGCAGUGCGCAGACGCAGUGUACACACUCACGCCAUACUAGCACACGCUACACCCCGACAAUCAACUACACACAAGAGCAGAAAUAAGAGAGAAAAGAGAGAGAAAAUGAGAGAGAGAUAAAAGAGAAAGAGAGAAAAGAGAGAAGAGGGAGAAAAGAGAGAGAAAAGAGAGAGAAAAGAGAGGGAGAAAAGAGAAAGAGAGAGAAAAGAGAGGGAGAAAACAGAAAGAGAGAGAAAAGAGGCAGAAAAGAGAGAGAAAAGAGAUCAACAGACAAACACUCAGAGUGGAUAAGGAACUUGAAAUAUGCAACACUUCUGAGAGCAGGUUAAAUGAUUAACCUUAUCUGGUACAGUACAGUACAGUACUGUAGCGCUCUCUCUCUGUCGUCAAGCUGCAACAGCCUGUCUGGAUCACAUUCUGCAGCCAGCCACGACUCACAGACAGAGUAUUAACUCUUUAGCAUGCCACAGCAGCUAGCGUGGAAGCAGCAUGGAGAAGACAAAAAACAUAAGCUACUUGCGUAUAAUACUGUAGUGUAGCACGUGGCAGGGUAGGAGCUGGGUUUGUAGAGUUACAGUACAGCAAGACCCUCCUCCUCCUGUCCUCACUCGAUCACUCCGAGGGGCUAAACAUUGCACGACCCUUACAGCUAUUUUGGCAAGGAGUCAAAAGCCUGAUAACCAUUCUGUAUGAGACCUCACUGCUUUUCUGGAAGAAAAACAGCUGCCGUGAUUACAAUGUGAUUGUGAAUUCACAGAAAACACGAGUGGUUCUGAUUUGUCCUGGGUAAAAAGGCAGAGGAUAGCUUAUCCAAAUAACCCAGAAACUAUAGCUGUACUGACUAAAAACGUAUCAUAUUUAAAACCAAUAGGAAAAGAUUUUUGAGUGUAUUUGGGUCUAAAGUAUCCCUUACCCUGGAAUCGUCUAGAGUCCUGCAUCGUGACGCGCUCCACCCUCCCUAAACCCUGCUGUUUGAGCGAGCGUGCACACGCACAUGUGCACGCGCACACGCACACACAAUUAUGUACUACAGGACUACAAAACAACAUGGCAGACCAGUCCUCCAUCUUAGUUCAUACUGAUUAUUCUUUUGAUUCACGUGUCUGCCUAUCUCAGUUUUUUAUGCUCCUUCUCUCCCUUCCUCUCGCCCUGCUUCUCUCUCUCUGUCCCGCCACCUUUUCCACUCUGCGACCAGCAUUUGGCUUUUUCCAUUUGUGGCAGAUUACUGUAAGGCUAUUGUAAAACAACUUCCUGCCUCUUUUGGCUCUGGUUCCAAAAACGGCAAAGGCUGGGCUCACGUGUCUCCCCCCCUCUCUCCCCGAAGUAUCAGGAGGUCUAAAAAGAGAGAAAGCCAGAAAAAGGAAAAGUGUAAAAUCUCUGCAUGUCUCCUCUUGAGGACUUAUUUUGAUGCCUUGUGUCUUUAAUGCCACAUGAGAAGUAAAGGAGGAGAGCAGGGGACUGCAUGCCUAGCAGAACGGAAAGAACAGCACAGCAACACCCGACCGACCGGAGGCUCCUCCGCUCACUCACUCCGAGGACUCUCUCCUCUCCUCCUCUUCAUGACAAGGUUCAAUAAGACACAGGUGGCCACAUUCAAUGGACCUGCAGAGGGAAAAAACAUUGUUUGUGUUUACUUACUGAAGACAUGGUGCAACCAAGUUCGGGCGUUAUUAACAGUCUCUCAUCUUCUUUUUAAAAAAUGACACAAAAUGGGUUGGAUGUGUCUGCUUUGGAAUGAGCUAGAACCCUAGAACCCAAUCCAAAGCACUGCAGCCUCACGUCACAUCUCGCCAUGCGUUUUAACCAAUUGAAAAACUCACGUCUUUGCGUUGAAACAUAUAGGUUUAAACAUACAGUUUGUGGAUAUUGUAGAUACAUAUUAGGAAUAUGUAUUUUUGUAUGUACAAUCCUGCUCAGUUUCAGUAGAGGACAGACAGUGGGGGAAAUUUGUUUUAGUCGUUGGUUUGGAACGGUCUGUAGUAAUAAUUUAGCUUAGUGUGCAUGUAGCACAGAAUUUAAUCAUUUAGCUUAGUGUGCAUGUAGCACAGCAUUUGCAAGAAGUUCACUUGAGGAUAAGGUUUUGGUUUUGGGAGGAUGCCAACUUUUACGACUGUGUGCCUCUACCUCGCUCCCCUCUUCUCUACUCUGGUUGCAUUUGUCUGUAUUGAAUUAUAUUUUAAAAUGUAUUUAUAUAUGUAAUUAUAUAUGUCAUUAUUAUAUUUUAAGUUGUGUUUUAGAAUUGUAAAUUACUUUAACCAUGCUUUCUUUAAACACUUUUCAAAUAAUAAAUUAAGCAAUUUUAAGAUGACCGGUUUAAUAUUUUUUUGACUUAGAUAUUUUUUUAGGAAUGCUUUCUUACACAGGUGUGUAUAAGAACUUUGGCAAACAAUACCAUUAAAAAACAAUGUCCUAGUACAACAUAAAAAAAACCUUGGAGGGAGGACAGAGAGGUAAAUGUAACUAUCCUUCUGUAGUAUAUUUGAAGGGACUUCUUAACCCUAUUGUUAAUAAUUACGAUAUGCUAUGGAAUGCUAUGUAUCUCAAUCAGCAUUAACUCUUAGAAUCUUUAGAUAAUAUCACAAUAGAUUAAAUGGUUAAUAAAGUUUAAAGUAAAUAUCCAACCUGUUAGUCAAAGCUAUGUUCCUGGUUUUGAAAUGCUACAAAUCCACAUAACUCACUACAGUGGAUGGUGAAGGAGAGAAUGAUCAGAGUAGGAAGUUAACUAACACGUCAGUAAAUGUGGCUUAGCUAUCGACACGUGAAUACCAAUUCAGUCAUUCAGUCCUAUUCAAGGACAUUUUUUAUAAAAUGGCGGACGCUGCAUUGUCAUUUACUGGCUUCAUUCAGAAUUUUUAAGUAUUGUGAUACAUUCAAAACUUAACCUUGCUUAAUAAAAUGUAUUCCCGUACUACA
Molecule: long non-coding RNA, 3388 nt
Filed under: Salmo salar (Atlantic salmon)
Lineage: Eukaryota; Metazoa; Chordata; Actinopteri; Salmoniformes; Salmonidae
Description: lncRNA (ENSSSAG00000095695.1)
Source: RNAcentral